Molecule: ribosomal RNA, 468 nt
Filed under: uncultured bacterium
Lineage: Bacteria
Description: partial 16S ribosomal RNA
Rfam family: Bacterial small subunit ribosomal RNA
Source: RNAcentral
GACGAACGCUGGCGGCGUGCUUAACACAUGCAAGUCGAACGGAAAGGCCCUGCUUUUGUGGGGUGCUCGAGUGGCGAACGGGUGAGUAACACGUGAGUAACCUGCCCUUGACUUUGGGAUAACUUCAGGAAACUGGGGCUAAUACCGGAUAGGAGCUCCUGCUGCAUGGUGGGGGUUGGAAAGUUUCGGCGGUUGGGGAUGGACUCGCGGCUUAUCAGCUUGUUGGUGGGGUAGUGGCUUACCAAGGCUUUGACGGGUAGCCGGCCUGAGAGGGUGACCGGCCACAUUGGGACUGAGAUACGGCCCAGACUCCUACGGGAGGCAGCAGUGGGAAAUAUUGCACAAUGGGCGGAAGCCUGAUGCAGCAACGCCGCGUGCGGGAUGACGGCCUUCGGGUUGUAAACCGCUUUCGCCUGUGACGAAGCGUGAGUGACGGCAAUGGGUAAAGAAGCACCGGCUAACUACGUG